GCGGGGGUCGCCAAGCCAGGUUAAAGGCGCAGGCUUCAGGAGCCUGUCCCGUAGGGGUUCGUGGGUUCGAAUCCCACCCCCCGCACCA
RNAcentral lists this transfer RNA (88 nucleotides) under Candidatus Bathyarchaeota archaeon. RNAcentral's name for it is "tRNA-Leu". It matches the Rfam family "tRNA". From Rfam's summary of the family: Transfer RNA (tRNA) molecules are approximately 80 nucleotides in length. Their secondary structure includes four short double-helical elements and three loops (D, anti-codon, and T loops). Lineage: Archaea; Thermoproteati; Candidatus Bathyarchaeota. RNAcentral also lists the same sequence under 1 other name. The record is from RNAcentral.